UCACUGGUCGAGUCGGCCUGCGCGGAAGAUGUAACGGGGCUAAACCAUGCACCGAAGCUGCGGCAGCGACACUAUGUGUUGUUGGGUAGGGGAGCGUUCUGUAAGCCUGUGAAGGUGUGCUGUGAGGCAUGCUGGAGGUAUCAGAAGUGCGAAUGCUGACAUAAGUAACGAUAAAGCGGGUGAAAAGCCCGCUCGCCGGAAGACCAAGGGUUCCUGUCCAACGUUAAUCGGGGCAGGGUGAGUCGACCCCUAAGGCGAGGCCGAAAGGCGUAGUCGAUGGGAAACAGGUUAAUAUUCCUGUACUUGGUGUUACUGCGAAGGGGGGACGGAGAAGGCUAUGUUGGCCGGGCGACGGUUGUCCCGGUUUAAGCGUGUAGGCUGGUUUUCCAGGCAAAUCCGGAAAAUCAAGGCUGAGGCGUGAUGACGAGGCACUACGGUGCUGAAGCAACAAAUGCCCUGCUUCCAGGAAAAGCCUCUAAGCAUCAGGUAACAUCAAAUCGUACCCCAAACCGACACAGGUGGUCAGGUAGAGAAUACCAAGGCGCUUGAGAGAACUCGGGUGAAGGAACUAGGCAAAAUGGUGCCGUAACUUCGGGAGAA
This 600-nucleotide ribosomal RNA is filed under the name Escherichia coli. RNAcentral's name for it is "partial 23S ribosomal RNA". It matches the Rfam family "Bacterial large subunit ribosomal RNA", at positions 1142 to 1744 of the family's 2925-position model. Lineage: Bacteria; Pseudomonadati; Pseudomonadota; Gammaproteobacteria; Enterobacterales; Enterobacteriaceae. The record is from RNAcentral.